GCAUCGGCCACAAUGAGGUGAUCGGGAUGUGCCGGGUUGGGAACGCUGCUGACGGCCCGGGCCGGGAACACUGGAACGAGAUGCUGGCAAAUCCACGCAAGCCCAUUGAGCAGUGGCACCAGCUGAUCGAGGAGAAGGUGAUGAACAGCUACAUGACAAAGAGUUUUCCCUCGGGUUCAGGAGCCACCAAACCAGUCAGCAUCGUGGUGGAGAGCCCUCAUUCAGACUGAGGUUACUGCUUCACAUCCAUACAAUAUCGGACAUCAGUGUGAGUAAUCGCCAUCACCACCAUCUGCCCUGUCUUUAUCUGUCCGUCUCUCUCUAUCUCUAUCUCUCUCACACAGGGACUCAAGAAGCCAGCAGUGCAAUAUUUUCUUUUUCUUCAAUUUGUAAAUCCUUCACCGCGAGAGAGAAAGAGAGAAAGAGGGAGAAGGAGAGAGAGAAUUGGAGCGACUGGGAGAUGAGGAACAGACUCUCCCACCCACCGUUCUGAGGUGACCCCCGCCAUCGACCUGAGGGACUGGGAUGGAGAGAGAGCAAGACUCGGGGGUUGUCCACACUCCAUUACACCCGCCUCCCUGCAUUGGAGAGGGGGCUGGGUCUGUGAUGUGACCCCUCCCACCCUCCCCCCACCAACAUUUCUCCAUGGAUCCAGGGCCCAAGAGGAAGAUUCAGAGAGUCUCAUCGACAGAAAUUGUCAUUUUCUGAGGAAAAAAAUGUCACUUCAAACACAUGUGUCACCAUGUUGUGGAUGUGUGUGCCUUGUCAACCAUGUGGGACAUUCCAUCUCCAUCUAUGCCCCCCCCCCCCCCAAACCCCCCCCUCCCCCAUUC
Long non-coding RNA from Amblyraja radiata (thorny skate), 833 nucleotides. RefSeq lists it as uncharacterized. The transcript has 3 exons. NCBI's taxonomy places the organism in Eukaryota, Metazoa, Chordata, Chondrichthyes, Rajiformes, Rajidae. The record is from RefSeq and is a predicted model, not a curated record.